This 402-nucleotide ribosomal RNA is filed under the name uncultured prokaryote. RNAcentral's name for it is "bacterial SSU rRNA". It matches the Rfam family "Bacterial small subunit ribosomal RNA", at positions 355 to 774 of the family's 1533-position model. The record is from RNAcentral.
UGGGGAAUAUUGCACAAUGGGGGAAACCCUGAUGCAGCAACGCCGCGUGAGUGAAGAAGUAUUUCGGUAUGUAAAGCUCUAUCAGCAGGGAAGAUAAUGACGGUACCUGACUAAGAAGCUCCGGCUAAAUACGUGCCAGCAGCCGCGGUAAUACGUAUGGAGCAAGCGUUAUCCGGAUUUACUGGGUGUAAAGGGUGCGUAGGUGGCAGUGCAAGUCAGAUGUGAAAGGCCGGGGCUCAACCCCGGAGCUGCAUUUGAAACUGCAUAGCUAGAGUAGGGGAGAGGAAAGUGGAAUUCCUGGUGUAGAGGUGAAAUUCGUAGAUAUCAGGAGGAACACCGGUGGCGAAGGCGACUUUCUGGCCCUAUACUGACGCUGAGACGCGAGAGCGUGGGUAGCAAACA